RNAcentral lists this ribosomal RNA (563 nucleotides) under Myrmecridium schulzeri. Its description in RNAcentral is "eukaryotic LSU rRNA". It matches the Rfam family "Eukaryotic large subunit ribosomal RNA", at positions 1 to 575 of the family's 3401-position model. Lineage: Eukaryota; Fungi; Ascomycota; Sordariomycetes; Myrmecridiales; Myrmecridiaceae. The record is from RNAcentral.
UUGACCUCGGAUCAGGUAGGAAUACCCGCUGAACUUAAGCAUAUCAAUAAGCGGAGGAAAAGAAACCAACAGGGAUUGCCCCAGUAACGGCGAGUGAAGCGGCAACAGCUCAAAUUUGAAAUCUGGCGCAAGCCCGAGUUGUAAUUUGCAGAGGAUGCUUUUGGCGCGGUGCCUUCUGAGUUCCCUGGAACGGGACGCCGGAGAGGGUGAGAGCCCCGUACAGUUGGACACCAAGCCUUUGUAAAGCUCCUUCGACGAGUCGAGUAGUUUGGGAAUGCUGCUCAAAAUGGGAGGUAAAUGCCUUCUAAAGCUAAAUACCGGCCAGAGACCGAUAGCGCACAAGUAGAGUGAUCGAAAGAUGAAAAGCACUUUGAAAAGAGGGUUAAACAGUACGUGAAAUUGUUGAAAGGGAAGCGCUCGUGACCAGACUUGCGCCCGGCGGAUCAUCCGGCCUUCUGGCCGGUGCACUCCGCCGGGCUCAGGCCAGCAUCGGUUUUCCUGGGGGGACAAAAGUGGCGGGAACGUAGCUCCUCCGGGAGUGUUAUAGCCCGCCGCAGCAUACC